RNAcentral lists this long non-coding RNA (270 nucleotides) under Lathyrus oleraceus (garden pea). RNAcentral's name for it is "Pisum sativum (pea) long non-coding RNA (PSAT_LNC041385)". Lineage: Eukaryota; Viridiplantae; Streptophyta; Magnoliopsida; Fabales; Fabaceae. The record is from RNAcentral.
UCGUUUCUUCCCCGGAAGGUAUCAGAAUCAGAGGUUCCUACUACUUUUUUUUUUUUUUUUUUUUUUUGCAGGAUCAACCUUGAUUCCUCUUUCGUUCGCAACAUGCCUCGGCAGCUUGCUGGACAGCACUCCAUAAGUGCGCUAAUUCGAACUCAACAGUAUGAGUUAUCUCUACCUGUCAAACAACUUGAUCCAUCGGAUGCCCCUCUUCUGCUUGGGACUUUGCCAUCAUGUCAUCAACAUGGCAUUUGCUUUCACGAUGAAUCAUAU